AGUCUUUUAAAUUCGUGUCAAAAUCUCGUCAGACAUCAGACCAUCAGGACUGGUGAGACUCCAAGUAUAAGUGAGGCA
Molecule: microRNA precursor, 78 nt
Filed under: Schistosoma curassoni
Lineage: Eukaryota; Metazoa; Platyhelminthes; Trematoda; Strigeidida; Schistosomatidae
Description: mir-3492 microRNA precursor family
Rfam family: mir-3492 microRNA precursor family
Source: Rfam by way of RNAcentral